This 102-nucleotide microRNA precursor is filed under the name Marmota monax (woodchuck). The record is from RNAcentral. Lineage: Eukaryota; Metazoa; Chordata; Mammalia; Rodentia; Sciuridae.
AUGUGGAUCUUCUGGGAACCUUGUUGAGAUACAGAUUCUGACUCAGUAGGUCUGGGGUGGAACUUGAGAUUCUGCAUCUAACAAGCUCCUGAUGCUGCUGAU